RNAcentral lists this transfer RNA (88 nucleotides) under Synergistaceae bacterium. RNAcentral describes it as "tRNA-Ser". It matches the Rfam family "tRNA". From Rfam's summary of the family: Transfer RNA (tRNA) molecules are approximately 80 nucleotides in length. The record is from RNAcentral. Lineage: Bacteria; Thermotogati; Synergistota; Synergistia; Synergistales; Synergistaceae.
GGAGGGCUGGCCGAGUGGUCGAAGGCGGUUGACUUGAAAUCAAUUGUGGGGCGACCCACCGCGGGUUCGAAUCCUGCGCCCUCCGCCA